UACAGAGGGUGCGAGCGUUGUCCGGAAUCACUGGGCGUAAAGGGCGCGUAGGUGGCCCGACAAGUCACUGGUGAAAGCUCGAUGCUCAACAUCGAGUCGGCCAGUGAUACUGUGGGGCUGGAGCACUGUAGAGGCUCAUGGAAUUCCGGGUGUAGCGGUGGAAUGCGUAGAGAUCCGGAAGAACACCGGUGGCGAAGGCGGCCUGCUGGGCAGUUGCUGACACUGAGGCGCGACAGCGUGGGGAGCAAACAGG
Molecule: ribosomal RNA, 253 nt
Filed under: uncultured bacterium
Lineage: Bacteria
Description: partial 16S ribosomal RNA
Rfam family: Bacterial small subunit ribosomal RNA
Source: RNAcentral